AUCCUUUUGUAGUUCAUAAGUGUGAUGAUGGGUUGUUCAUGCUCUUGUGUGAGAUAUGCCUCCCUCAAACCUUGCUACCACAUUGGAAUAUUACCCGUCUGAUG
Molecule: small nucleolar RNA, 104 nt
Organism: Pteropus vampyrus (large flying fox)
Lineage: Eukaryota; Metazoa; Chordata; Mammalia; Chiroptera; Pteropodidae
Source: Ensembl